CCUACGGGGUGCAGCAGUGAGGAAUAUUGGUCAAUGGACGAGAGUCUGAACCAGCCAAGUAGCGUGAAGGAUGACUGCCCUAUGGGUUGUAAACUUCUUUUAUCUGGGAAUAAAAUGUUCCACGUGUGGGAUUUUGUAUGUACCCUAUGAAUAAGGAUCGGCUAACUCCGUGCCAGCAGCCGCGGUAAUACGGAGGAUCCGAGCGUUAUCCGGAUUUAUUGGGGUUAAAGGGUGCGUAGGUGGGAGGUGAAGUCCGUUGGUAAAGUUGGCGGCCCAAACGUAAAAUUGCAGUUGAAACUGGAAGUCUUGAGGACAGGAGAGGUGGGCGGAAUGCGUGGUGUAGCGGUGAAAUGCUGAGAUAUCACGAAGAACUCCGAUUGCGAAGGCAGUUCACUGGACUGCAACUGACACUGAUGCACGAAAGUGUGGGUAUCAAACAGGAUUAGAUACCCGUGUAGUC
RNAcentral lists this ribosomal RNA (460 nucleotides) under uncultured bacterium. RNAcentral describes it as "partial 16S ribosomal RNA". It matches the Rfam family "Bacterial small subunit ribosomal RNA", at positions 338 to 795 of the family's 1533-position model. The record is from RNAcentral.